This 437-nucleotide ribosomal RNA is filed under the name Agrococcus sp. Its description in RNAcentral is "bacterial SSU rRNA". It matches the Rfam family "Bacterial small subunit ribosomal RNA", at positions 24 to 473 of the family's 1533-position model. Lineage: Bacteria; Bacillati; Actinomycetota; Actinomycetes; Micrococcales; Microbacteriaceae. The record is from RNAcentral.
UCAGGACGAACGCUGGCGGCGUGCUUAACACAUGCAAGUCGAACGAUGAAGGAGGAGCUUGCUCCUCCGGAUUAGUGGCGAACGGGUGAGUAAUACGUGAGCAAUGUGCCCUUGACUCUGGGAUAAGCGCUGGAAACGGCGUCUAAUACCGGAUACGACCCUCGGAGGCAUCUCCUGAUGGUGGAAAGAACUUCGGUCAAGGAUCAGCUCACGGCCUAUCAGCUAGUUGGUGAGGUAACGGCUCACCAAGGCGACGACGGGUAGCCGGCCUGAGAGGGUGACCGGCCACACUGGGACUGAGACACGGCCCAGACUCCUACGGGAGGCAGCAGUGGGGAAUAUUGCACAAUGGGCGCAAGCCUGAUGCAGCAACGCCGCGUGAGGGACGACGGCCUUCGGGUUGUAAACCUCUUUAGCAGGGAAGAAGCGAAAGUGAC